AGAAAAUAUGAAACAGGGUCGUGUUGAGUGAUUCAGGUGUAAACAGAUGAUGCUUGUGCUUUGUAGUGAUGGAUGAUGAAGCUUUUCUAGCUCAGCAAGGCAUGAAGGUGUCCAAACCACAAGCUGCCAUUGUUGUAUGCUUGAAGAUGCAGAACGAAAGGGAAGGUUCAGCUGGGAUUUUUUUGCUCGAAUAAGCCUACAAAUGCUAUCUAGAUGAUGGAACCAUGAAGAAAGUUCGAAGGUUUUUGAGAGUUCUAUGCAGGAAUUCUG
Molecule: long non-coding RNA, 270 nt
Filed under: Lathyrus oleraceus (garden pea)
Lineage: Eukaryota; Viridiplantae; Streptophyta; Magnoliopsida; Fabales; Fabaceae
Description: Pisum sativum (pea) long non-coding RNA (PSAT_LNC010584)
Source: RNAcentral